GAUGAACGCUGGCGGCGUGCUUAACACAUGCAAGUCGAACGAUGAAGCCCAGCUUGCUGGGUGGAUUAGUGGCGAACGGGUGAGUAACACGUGAGUAAUCUGCCCUUAACUCUGGGAUAAGCCUGGGAAACUGGGUCUAAUACCGGAUAGGAGCGUCCACCGCAUGGUGGGUGUUGGAGAGUUUUAUCGGUUUUGGAUGGACUCGCGGCCUAUCAGCUUGUUGGUGAGGUAAUGGCUCACCAAGGCGACGACGGGUAGCCGGCCUGAGAGGGUGACCGGCCACACUGGGACUGAGACACGGCCCGGACUCCUACGGGAGGCAGCGGUGGGGAAUAUUGCACAAUGGGCGCAAGCCUGAUGCAGCGACGCAGCGUGGGGGAUGACGGCCUUCGGGUUGUAAACCUCUUUCAGUAGGGAAGAAGCGAAAGUGACGGUACCUGCAGAAGAAGCACCGGCUAACUACGUG
RNAcentral lists this ribosomal RNA (466 nucleotides) under uncultured bacterium. RNAcentral's name for it is "partial 16S ribosomal RNA". It matches the Rfam family "Bacterial small subunit ribosomal RNA", at positions 28 to 507 of the family's 1533-position model. The record is from RNAcentral.